Molecule: long non-coding RNA, 433 nt
Organism: Xiphophorus couchianus (Monterrey platyfish)
Lineage: Eukaryota; Metazoa; Chordata; Actinopteri; Cyprinodontiformes; Poeciliidae
Exons: 3
Source: RefSeq, a predicted model, not a curated record
CCGGUGAAGGAGCCACAGCCAUGCUAAGCGAACAUCACUGAAUCCACUUUCCAUGAAGAAAAGUGCGAAAAUAAUCUUCAUCCACACUGCGAUGUGGAGCAUAAACCCUCCAAAAACAACACAUGGGACUUAAACUUGACAUGAUGCUCCCGAUUCACCAGCUGCACGUGUAUAGAGUUGUAAACUUGUCUCACACGUCAAGUUCCAUGACUGACACGGCACCUGACCAAUGGGAGGGAGAAGAGCGAACCAAACAACCAAUAAGCUUCCAGGUUUGUGAGGGGCCACAUUGGAGGGGCCACAUGCAGAUCUGGAGCCACAGGUCGCAGACCCCAGUACUAACUCUGCCGCUCAGCUUGGAAGUAGCUCACUUUUACUGCCGAUCUGGAACUGGCUUUCUGACUUUUUUCUAUCAAUGUUGAUCAAAACAUUA